Molecule: non-coding RNA, 45 nt
Organism: Schistosoma curassoni
Lineage: Eukaryota; Metazoa; Platyhelminthes; Trematoda; Strigeidida; Schistosomatidae
Source: Rfam
ACCUUGCUGACGAGUGUCAAGUAGCACGAAACCCGCGUCCAGGGU